RNAcentral lists this non-coding RNA (25 nucleotides) under Rattus norvegicus (Norway rat). The record is from RNAcentral. Lineage: Eukaryota; Metazoa; Chordata; Mammalia; Rodentia; Muridae.
CUUCUAUCAUUGGUGCUUUUCCCAC